Molecule: ribosomal RNA, 461 nt
Filed under: fungal endophyte
Lineage: Eukaryota; Fungi
Description: eukaryotic LSU rRNA
Rfam family: 5.8S ribosomal RNA (bases 145-298)
Source: RNAcentral
ACCCGUGUUUAUUGUACCUUGUUGCUUCGGCGGGCCCGCCUUUAUGGCCGCCGGGGGGCUUACGCUCCCGGGCCCGCGCCCGCCGAAGACACCCUCGAACUCUGUCUGAAGAUUGUAGUCUGAGUGGAAUUAUAAAUUAUUUAAAACUUUCAACAACGGAUCUCUUGGUUCCGGCAUCGAUGAAGAACGCAGCGAAAUGCGAUACGUAAUGUGAAUUGCAGAAUUCAGUGAAUCAUCGAGUCUUUGAACGCACAUUGCGCCCCCUGGUAUUCCGGGGGGCAUGCCUGUCCGAGCGUCAUUGCUGCCCUCAAGCACGGCUUGUGUGUUGGGCCCCGUCCUCCGAUCCCGGGGGACGGGCCCGAAAGGCAGCGGCGGCACCGCGUCCGGUCCUCGAGCGUAUGGGGCUUUGUCACCCGCUCUGUAGGCCCGGCCGGCGCUUGCCGAUCAACCACAUUUUUUCG